Molecule: ribosomal RNA, 840 nt
Filed under: uncultured soil bacterium
Lineage: Bacteria
Description: bacterial SSU rRNA
Rfam family: Bacterial small subunit ribosomal RNA
Source: RNAcentral
AGAAUCAACGCUGGCGGCGUGCCUAACACAUGCAAGUCGAACGAGAAAGGGUAGCAAUACCUGAGUAAAGUGGCGUACGGGUGAGUAACACGUGACUAACCUACCUUUGAGUGGGGGAUAACUUCGGGAAACCGAGGCUAAUACCGCAUAAUACCUACGGGUUAAAGGAGCAAUUCGCUUAAAGAGGGGGUCGCGGCUGAUUAGCUAGUUGGUAGGGUAACGGCCUACCAAGGCAAUGAUCAGUAUCCGGCCUGAGAGGGCGCACGGACACACUGGAACUGAAACACGGUCCAGACUCCUACGGGAGGCAGCAGUGGGGAAUUUUGCACAAUGGGGGAAACCCUGAUGCAGCAACGCCGCGUGGAGGAUGAAGUCCCUUGGGAUGUAAACUCCUUUCGACCGGGACGAUAAUGACGGUACCGGUGGAAGAAGCCCCGGCUAACUCUGUGCCAGCAGCCGCGGUAAUACAGAGGGGGCAAGCGUUGUUCGGAAUUAUUGGGCGUAAAGGGUGCGUAGGCGGUGCGGUAAGUCUUUUGUGAAAUCUCCGGGCUCAACUCGGAGUCUGCAGGAGAAACUGCCGUGCUUGAGUAUGGGAGAGGUGAGUGGAAUUCCUGGUGUAGCGGUGAAAUGCGUAGAUAUCGGGAGGAACACCUGUGGCGAAAGCGGCUCACUGGACCAUAACUGACGCUGAGGCGCGAAAGCUAGGGGAGCAAACAGGAUUAGAUACCCUGGUAGUCCUAGCCCUAAACGAUGAUCGCUUGUGUGACAGGUACCCAAUCCUGUCGUGCCGGAGCUAACGCGUUAAGCGAUCCGCCUGGGGAGUACGGUCGCAAGGCUGAA